AUUAGCGGAGGAAAAGAAACUAACAAGGAUUCCCUCAGUAACGGCGAGUGAACCGGGAAGAGCCCAGCACCGAAUCCCCUGCUCCUUGCGGGCAGCGGGACCUGUGGUGUUAGGGACGGUAGCACAGGGUGGAGAGUCGUCAGCGUCCGUGUCCUCUUGAUUGGGGCCUCUCCCAUAGCGGGUGUCGGGCCUCUAGGCACGCUUGGCUCUCUCCCUAGCUCCGUCCUCGGAGUCGGGUUGUUUGGUAAUGCAGCCCUAAGUGGGUGGUAAGCUCCAUCUAAGGCUAAAUAUGACCACGAGACCGAUAGCGAACAAGUACCGUAAGGGAAAGUUGAAAAGAACUUUGAAGAGAGAGUUCAAGAGUACGUGAAACCGUUUAGAGGGAAACGGAUGGGACCGAAAAAUGGUCGCCGGCGGAAUUCAGCUCGCUACCACGUGCCCGCACCGUUGGCCGUCUCCCUAAACUUGGGGGCGGUCCGGUGCUUCGGGCCGGGUGGAGGGUGCACUUUCCGCCGCGCGAACGGCCACGACCGGUUCCGUGCCAGGCAGAACGACCGCGAGCAAGGUGGCGCGGCGGUGUCGGCCCUUCCGGGGGUCGGCGCCGCGCGCGUGUUACAGGCUCCGGUGGUGGCGGCUCUGGCGCGGGACCGAGUAGAACGAACUUUGCAUCUUGCACUUCGGCAUGUCCGGAUCGGAAGCGCCCCCUUCUCGGGGUGCCCCGAGCACCCGGCGGCCGUCGCGGGAUCAGUGGCUCGAAAUAUGGUCGGUCACCCAUCCGAC
RNAcentral lists this ribosomal RNA (780 nucleotides) under Sphaerodoropsis cf. longianalpapilla MC-2015. Its description in RNAcentral is "partial 28S ribosomal RNA". It matches the Rfam family "Eukaryotic large subunit ribosomal RNA", at positions 46 to 648 of the family's 3401-position model. Lineage: Eukaryota; Metazoa; Annelida; Polychaeta; Phyllodocida; Sphaerodoridae. The record is from RNAcentral.